Molecule: ribosomal RNA, 500 nt
Filed under: uncultured bacterium
Lineage: Bacteria
Description: partial 16S ribosomal RNA
Rfam family: Bacterial small subunit ribosomal RNA
Source: RNAcentral
AUUGAACGCUGGCGGAAUGCUUUACACAUGCAAGUCGAACGGCAGCACGGACUUCGGUCUGGUGGCGAGUGGCGAACGGGUGAGUAAUGUAUCGGAACGUGCCCAGUCGUGGGGGAUAACGUAGUGAAAAUUACGCUAAUACCGCAUACGAUCUAUGGAUGAAAGCGGGGGAUCGCAAGACCUCGCGCGAUUGGAGCGGCCGAUAUCAGAUUAGGUAGUUGGUGGGGGAAAGGCCCACCAAGCCAACGAUCUGUAGCUGGUCUGAGAGGACGACCAGCCACACUGGAACUGAGACACGGUCCAGACUCCUACGGGAGGCAGCAGUGGGGAAUUUUGGACAAUGGGCGGAAGCCUGAUCCAGCCAUUCCGCGUGCAGGAUGAAGGCCCUCGGGUUGUAAACUGCUUUUGUACAGAACGAAAAGGUUUCUACUAAUACUAGGAGCUCAUGACGGUACUGUAAGAAUAAGCACCGGCUAGCUACGUGCCAGCCGCCGCUGUAA